GCUGGGGGCAGGGGUGCACACCUGUUGCCCCAGCUACUCAGGAGGCUGAGGCAAGAGGAUUAGUUGAGCCCAGGAAUUGGAGGCCAGCCUGGGAAACAUAGUGAGAUCGUAUCUCAG
RNAcentral lists this small RNA (117 nucleotides) under Marmota monax (woodchuck). Lineage: Eukaryota; Metazoa; Chordata; Mammalia; Rodentia; Sciuridae. The record is from RNAcentral.